This 624-nucleotide ribosomal RNA is filed under the name uncultured bacterium. RNAcentral's name for it is "bacterial SSU rRNA". It matches the Rfam family "Bacterial small subunit ribosomal RNA", at positions 338 to 961 of the family's 1533-position model. The record is from RNAcentral.
CCUACGGGAGGCAGCAGUAGGGAAUCUUCCACAAUGGACGAAAGUCUGAUGGAGCAACGCCGCGUGAGUGAUGAAGGUUUUCGGAUCGUAAAACUCUGUUGUAAGGGAAGAACAAGUACGAGAGGGAAUGCUCGUACCUUGACGGUACCUUGCGAGAAAGCCACGGCUAACUACGUGCCAGCAGCCGCGGUAAUACGUAGGUGGCAAGCGUUGUCCGGAAUUAUUGGGCGUAAAGCGCGCGCAGGCGGCCUUUUAAGUCUGAUGUGAAAGCCCCCGGCUCAACCGGGGAGGGUCAUUGGAAACUGGAAGGCUUGAGUACAGAAGAGAAGAGUGGAAUUCCAUGUGUAGCGGUGAAAUGCGUAGAGAUGUGGAGGAACACCAGUGGCGAAGGCGACUCUUUGGUCUGUAACUGACGCUGAGGCGCGAAAGCGUGGGGAGCAAACAGGAUUAGAUACCCUGGUAGUCCACGCCGUAAACGAUGAGUGCUAGGUGUUGGGGGGUUUCCGCCCCUCAGUGCUGAAGCUAACGCGUUAAGCACUCCGCCUGGGGAGUACGGCCGCAAGGCUGAAACUCAAAGAGUAGUAGGCGUGAGACGUGCCGACGACGACACGACGGGAGGUUAGG